Molecule: ribosomal RNA, 484 nt
Filed under: uncultured bacterium
Lineage: Bacteria
Description: partial 16S ribosomal RNA
Rfam family: Bacterial small subunit ribosomal RNA
Source: RNAcentral
AUUGAACGCUGGCGGCAGGCUUAACACAUGCAAGUCGAGCGGUUGAAGGGAGCUUGCUCCUGGAUUCAGCGGCGGACGGGUGAGUAAUGCCUAGGAAUCUGCCUCGUAGUGGGGGAUAACGUCCGGAAACGGGCGCUAAUACCGCAUACGUCCUGAGGGAGAAAGUGGGGGUUCUUCGGACCUCACGCUAUCAGAUGAGCCUAGGUCGUAUUAGCUAGUUGGUGGGGUAAAGGCCUACCGGGGCGACGAUCCGUAACUGGUCUGAGAGGAUGAUCAGUCACCCUGGAACGGAGACGCGGUCCAGGCUCCUACGGGAGGCAGCAGUGGGGAAUGUUGGAAAAUGGGCGGAAUCCUGAUCCAGCCGUGCCGCGUGUGUGAAGAAGGUCUUCGGAUUGUAAAGCACUUUAAGUUGGGAGGAAGGGCAGUAAGUUAAUACCAUGCUGUUUUGACGGUACCAACAGAAGAAGCACCGGCUAACUUCGUG